AGGACGAACGCUGGCGGCGUGCUUAACACAUGCAAGUCGAGCGGUAAGGCCUUUCGGGGUACACGAGCGGCGAACGGGUGAGUAACACGUGGGUGAUCUGCCCUGCACUUCGGGAUAAGCCUGGGAAACUGGGUCUAAUACCGGAUAUGACCUCAGGUUGCAUGACUUGGGGGUAGGAAAGUAUUUUAGUCGGUGCAAGGAGUCGGGCCCGCGGCCUAUCAGUCUUUGGUUGGGUAGGGUAAUCGGCCUACCGAACGGCGGACGGACGGGUACGCCGACCGUGAGGAGGGUACGACCGGCCAACC
This 305-nucleotide ribosomal RNA is filed under the name uncultured soil bacterium. RNAcentral's name for it is "bacterial SSU rRNA". It matches the Rfam family "Bacterial small subunit ribosomal RNA", at positions 26 to 313 of the family's 1533-position model. The record is from RNAcentral.